CCUACGGGUGGCAGCAGUGGGGAAUAUUGCACAAUGGGGGAAACCCUGAUGCAGCAACGCCGCGUGAGUGAGGAAGUAUUUCGGUAUGUAAAGCUCUAUCAGCAGGGAAUAGAAAAGAAGGUACCUGAAAAAGAAGCCCCGGCUAACUACGUGCCAGCAGCCGCGGUAAUACGUAGGGGGAAAGCGUUAUCCGGAUUUACUGGGUGUAAAGGGAGCGUAGACGGCCAUGCAAGCCAGGGGUGAAAGCCCGGGGCCCAACCCCGGGACUGCCCUUGGAACUGCAUGGCUGGAGUGCGGGAGGGGCAGGCGGAAUUCCUGGUGUAGCGGUGAAAUGCGUAGAUAUCAGGAGGAACACCGGCGGCGAAGGCGGCCUGCUGGACCGCGACUGACGUUGAGGCUCGAAAGCGUGGGGAGCGAACAGGAUUAGAUACCCCUGUAGUC
RNAcentral lists this ribosomal RNA (441 nucleotides) under uncultured bacterium. Its description in RNAcentral is "partial 16S ribosomal RNA". It matches the Rfam family "Bacterial small subunit ribosomal RNA", at positions 338 to 795 of the family's 1533-position model. The record is from RNAcentral.